This is a non-coding RNA of Picea glauca (white spruce), 121 nucleotides long. NCBI's taxonomy places the organism in Eukaryota, Viridiplantae, Streptophyta, Pinopsida, Pinales, Pinaceae. The record is from Rfam.
ACAUGCCUACAACAUAGCGUUAAUGCACUAGAUCCCAUUAUAAAUCCGCAGUCAAGCGUGCUUAGGAUAGAGUAGUACUGGGAUGGGUGACCGCCCAGGAAGUCCUAGUGUUUUUCAUGCC